GUCAGGGGACUACGAGCAAAGCUUAAAACCCAAAGGACUUGACGGUACCCCAUAUCCCCCUAGAGGAGCCUGUCCAAUAAUCGAUAAUCCCCGUUUAACCUCACCACAUCUAGCUUAUCAGCCUGUAUACUUCCGUCGCAAGCCUACCACAUGAGCGAAACUUAGUAGGCCAAAUGUCUACACAUAAUAUCCUUAUGUCGACAGUACGGCAGGUCAAAGUGCAGCAAACGCUGUGGGAUGAGAUUGGCUACACUUUUUAACUUAAAAGAAACGGAAAACAAAAUGAAAUCUUUGUCAGAAGGUGGAUUUAGCAGUAAAAUGGAAAUAUUAAAUUCAUUUUAACUCGGCACUGGGGUGUGU
RNAcentral lists this ribosomal RNA (360 nucleotides) under Eleutherodactylus darlingtoni (Darlington's robber frog). Its description in RNAcentral is "partial 12S ribosomal RNA". It matches the Rfam family "Bacterial small subunit ribosomal RNA", at positions 871 to 1384 of the family's 1533-position model. Lineage: Eukaryota; Metazoa; Chordata; Amphibia; Anura; Eleutherodactylidae. The record is from RNAcentral.